This is an RNA transcript of Mus musculus (house mouse), 4911 nucleotides long. It is a transcript of the gene named KAT8 regulatory NSL complex subunit 2, with no coding region annotated. The transcript is spliced from 11 exons. Lineage: Eukaryota; Metazoa; Chordata; Mammalia; Rodentia; Muridae. The record is from RefSeq and is marked validated.
UUUUUUCUUUUCUUUUUUUUAAGAUUUAUUCAUAUGAGUACACUGUCCCUGUCUUCUGACACUGCAGAAGAGGGCAUCGGAUCCCGUUAGAGUUGGUUGUGAGCCACCAUGUGGUUGCUGGGAAUUGAACUCAGGAUCUCUAGAAGAGCAGUCGGUGCCAUUUCUCCAGCCACCCCAAUGUCUACUCUUCUGCUGUGUAGGGACGGUAAAGAAGUAGCUGCCCGAGAAGACUGGAGACUACUGCCACCAGAAGACGAACCCUUCAGAUGGAAAAAUAUCCGAAUCCGGCGACUGGCGGUGGCCCGCCUUUCCGACGGCCCACUCACCGGCCGAGUUUCUGACAGACACUUCACUUCAGCCACUCCCGUUGUGGAGUCUCUCACUGUCCCGCCCUCCACAGGCUAGUGUUAGUUCUGACCAAUAGGAGCACAGCACCCUCAGCGCAGCAACCAAUCAGCGUCUAGGGUCGCGUUCCGAGCAGGCGGAGCAGCCAGAGGGCAAGCUGCGCGGUGCCGCGCGGUGGGGGAGGUAAGAUGGCGCCGUGCCGGGCGCUUCUCCUUUGCUGUUAGGCGCUGCUCGCCUUCUCUGUCAGCUCAGCGCGGCACGUCGUCUCCUGCAGCGUUGGAGCCUCUCUGGUUGCUAGGCUUUCGGGGAGCCAGGUUCUCCGGUGCCGGGAGCCGUGGGACAAGAUGGCGCUUGUAGGACGACGGCCAAGGCGCUCGGGUCGGGGCUGUGAGCGCUGAGGCGGCCAGGGACAAAGGCGGCGAGCCGGGGCGUGGGGGCGGGGCGUGCCGCGCCGUUGCAGUGGUGCCGCGUGGGACAGGCGCCGCGCUUCCGGUCUGCUGCUGCGGAGAUUCGGCCAACGUGGUUUUGGCAUGAACAGGAUUCGGAUUCACGUCUUGCCAACGAAUCGGGGGAGGAUCACCCCAGUGCCCAGGUCGCAGGAGCCCCUUUCCUGUUCGUUCACUCACCGCCCGUGCUCUCAGCCGCGGCUGGAGGGGCAGGAGUUCUGCAUUAAGCACAUUCUUGAAGACAAGAAUGCACCCUUCAAACAAUGUAGUUACGUCUCGACGAAGAAUGGAAAAAGGUGCCCCAGUGCUGCCCCAAAGCCCGAGAAGAAAGAUGGGGUGUCUUUCUGUGCCGAACAUGCUCGAAGAAAUGCCCUAGCACUUCAUGCUCAAAUGAAGAAGAGCAACCCAGGCCCUAUGGGUGAAACCCUCUUGUGCCAGUUGAGCUCAUACGCUAAAACAGAGCUGGGCUCGCAGACCCCAGAGAGCAGCCGCAGUGAAGCCAGCCGGAUACUGGAUGAAGACAGCUGGAGUGAUGGGGACCAGGAACCCAUCACUGUGGAUCAGACAUGGAGAGGUGACCCUGACAGUGAAGCCGAUAGCAUAGACAGUGAUCAAGAAGAUCCCCUGAAACAUGCUGGUGUCUAUACAGCUGAAGAAGUGGCUCUUAUUAUGAGAGAAAAGCUAAUUCGUUUGCAGUCUUUGUACAUUGAUCAGUUUAAAAGACUCCAACACCUGCUCAAAGAGAAGAAGCGCCGCUAUUUACACAACCGGAAAGUGGAGCACGAGGCUUUAGGUAGUAGUCUCCUGACUGGCCCUGAGGGACUUUUGGCCAAAGAGAGAGAGAAUUUAAAGCGACUAAAAUGUCUUAGGCGAUACCGUCAACGCUAUGGAGUAGAAGCCUUACUACACAGGCAGCUGAAGGAACGCAGAAUGCUGGCCACCGAUGGGGCUGCUCAACAGGCUCACACCACUCGUUCCAGUCAGAGGUGCUUAGCCUUUGUGGAUGAUGUGCGCUGCUCCAAUCAGUCUCUCCCAAUGACCAGACACUGCCUUACCCAUAUCUGUCAGGAUACAAAUCAGGUUCUCUUCAAAUGCUGCCAGGGAUCUGAAGAGGUCCCCUGCAACAAACCAGUUCCUGUAAGCCUUUCUGAGGAUCCCUGCUGCCCUCUGCAUUUCCAGUUGCCUCCUCAGAUGUAUAAGCCCGAGCAGGUACUGUCUGUGCCAGACGAUCUGGAAGCCGGCCCCAUGGAUCUGUACUUGAGUGCUGCCGAGCUUCAGCCCACUGAGAGUUUACCACUGGAGUUCAGUGAUGUAAGUUAGAGAAGCUCUGCUCUGAUUGGCCCUUGACAGAAGGCCCUGUUUACUAGUGGUGAGAAUAGUUAGCUGUUUUCAGCCUAGAGGGUGAUGUGAUUCUAACGCAUUGACUGUGCCUGUUUAUCCAUCUAUCUACACUCUGUGCUCUACCUUUCUCCUCCCCAGACUUUUUGUUCUGAGACAAAACCUAAUUCUGUAGCCUGAGUUGAACGUGAACUCGUGAUCCAUAUCUCAUAAGUGUUGGUGUUAGAGACAUGAACCCCCAUGCCUGGCCUCCUUUGUUUCUCAGGGAUGGGAUUCGUAGAGCACAACUUGGAAGUGAUUUUUUUUUUUUUUAUCAAGGUGUUUAUAUGCAGCACCUAUCAUUACUGAGGAUGUUGGUACCAUACUUUCUAAUGAGAUGAGUAAAAAACAUGAUUUGUAUUUGUUUUGGUGGUUUUUAAACAUCUUCUGGUGGAUAAGCAGUUUUGCUGACCCUUUUUAAAAAGUUUUAUUUUUGACAGAUUUUAUUACAAAAUUUAUUGAGUUUUCAGACUUUAUGUGGUUCAAUUCUAAUUUAGUGUUUUUGAUGCUGUUAUGAAUGGGGUCUGAGCAUUUCUUUUUUUAUGAGUGGGGUCUGAGCAUUUUUUUAUGAGUGGGGUCUGAGCAUUUCUUUUUUUAUGAGUGGGGUCUGAGCAUUUCUUUACUUGCUUGCUUCCUGAAACCCAGCUUGUACCACGACUUUAAAAAGCUGGCAUUUGAUGCCUUUUUUUCUUUUUUAAAAGUUUGUUUUAUAAAUGUGUGUGUUUUGUUGUAUGUAUAUAUGUAUGUAUGUAUCCAUGUAUGUAUGUAUGUGCACCCUAUGUGUGCCUGGCAUCAGAGGUCAGAAGAGGUUAGAUCUCCUGGGACUGAAGUUAUAGCCAGUUGUGAGCCACCAUGUAGAUGCUGGGAAUUGAACCUGGAUCCUCUGCAGGAUUAACACGUGUUUCUCUCCGUGAGCUCUUUUGGGAGGUACUUGAUGGAGCAAAUGAUGUGUACUAUGAAUCCCAUCUCGAGAAACGGCCUGCGCUUAAAACCUCUGUAGUCACUGCUUCCAGGGGAUGAGGUCCCUGGAAGGCUGUGUCCUGUACAAACCUACUUUUCCCCUGCUGUUUGGAGAGAGAUGAUGCCAGUCUCCUUUUGCUCUGGGAGUCUGGCAGCUUAGGAUAUAGUCUGUAAAUCUCUUAGCUAUGAAUUUGGAGUAAUUAUUUUAAGGCCAAACUGGCCUAACAUUUUAAGCACUUUCCUAUAUGGCUUUAGAGAGUUUGACUGCUCAGUGAUGGGGAAGCUUAGCGUUAGCGUCGCCCUUUCCAUAGGGCAGAGCUGGGUAUUGGGGGUUUCUUUUCCAGUUUACGGUGAUAGUGCCCAGAGUGGGUUUCCUACCUGCACUUACCUCUUUACCUUUGCUUUUCCUUCCCACUCAAAAUAGACAUUUUCUAGUUGCCCAGUGGACAAGAUUCUCUUGACCACUCAGUCCUGGCAUUCUCACAAAUAGACGUUGUUUAUAUAAUGUACCUGUGGGUAGAAAGAGCUGGCACCAACCCCAAGCUUUAAAAAGAAAAAUUGCAGGAAACAAAGUGAGCACUGUCUUGGUGGUGUGCGCGUGGGCUUCUGUGGGCCGAGAGCUGUGUCCAGUGGACGUCUGUAGUGGAUAGUGGGCAAUGUGGCUGUCUCUUUCCUCCUGCUUGCACUGAGCAGUUUGUUUACUUGCUGUUGUUUUUAAAGGCAUUUUAAAGAAAGGAUACAUUACAUAUCCCUUGAACUCUCAGAGAUCUGCCUGCCUCUGCCUCCCUCCAGAGUGCUGGGUUUAAAGAAUACUUGAACUAUGUUAAGUGUAAGACUCAGAGGCUUAGCCCGGCCAGGUGGCACAGGCCUUUAAUCCCAGCUCCUGGGAGGCUGAAGCAGAGCAUCCUAAGGUCAAGUCUUGCCUGGGCCACAGGGACUUGGAUGUUGUGGGUGAUGGCAUGCCAUGCCCGCCGUCGCCAUUGCUCUUUGAUCCUUCGCUAACUCUUGAAGAUCAUUCAGUCACAGAAAGUGCCGGAGACGCAGGACAGAUGCAGGCGGCUGGGGAUGGGUGCAGAUCCCAGGGAGCUCGAAGUGUAGAGAAAGCAGCAUUCCCUCAGCGUGGAUUGGCUACUGCGAAUGGAAAACCAGAACCCACUUCUAUCAGUUGACAUUCAUUCUGGGAAUUGUUUGCCUUUGGAUUUGAACUUUCCAUUCUUCAGACAAGUGUAUCUCUGAUCAUCUCUCCCUGAACAGGGACAACUCAGACCACAUUGCUUCCUUUGGGGCUUUAGAGCGCUAUAGACAAACAUAAUCCAAGUUUGUGUGGAAUGAAUAUUUAGUAUAUAAGUUUUGGGAUUUUUUUUUUUUUCAAGGAAGAAUGUGAGGUGAUCCCUGCCUUUGGGAUACAAUGCAUAUUGGAGACUGCCUGGGAGAGAGACAUUCUGUAAUGGGACUCCUAAGCCACGGACAGAACCCCACAUGGAUGUCCAGGCGGGCUGUGCUCGAGACGGUGCUCGGCAGGCGUUGGCCCUUAGUGUCUGGCUAGCUGUAUCUAAAGGCCUGUAUCUAAGCCUUUCCUCUGCUCUACAUAGUUGGGCAAUACAAAGCCCAUUCGUUUCCUUGUGAACUGUAACUGAGAAAAGCAGCUCACAGGUCUGGGCUCUCCUUACUUAGUUAUUCUUGCUUUUAACUUAUGUAAGUUCCUGUGGUGACUCCAUGUAAUAUGUAGUGAAAUUACUGUAUAUAGUUUCUAUUAAAUGUUAAAAUGCUAUCAAAGUGUAAA